GUAGGUGAACCUGCGGAAGGAUCAUUAACACGUUUAUGUUCCAUAACGUUUUCUGACCACUUUCUUUUUAUCCGUGAACCAAAAACAAAAACCCGGUUCUUGUUGCUGCUGUGUAGUUUUUGAGGAAGAUUCUUGUAAUUGGACUCAGAGACAACACAACACACAGGAGCCACUUUUUCACCCAACCUUGAAUCUAAUUGUUCUGAACUUUAGUUGAUGGGAAACUGUCAACGAAUAAAAAAUAAACAACAACUCUUAACAACGGAUAUCUUGGUUCUC
Molecule: unclassified non-coding RNA, 279 nt
Filed under: rhizosphere metagenome
Description: partial ribosomal RNA internal transcribed spacer region
Source: RNAcentral